GCCGAAGUGGUGGAACUGGUAGACACGCUGUCUUGAGGGGGCAGUGGAUUAAACUCCGUGCCGGUUCGAGUCCGGCCUUCGGCACAA
Molecule: transfer RNA, 87 nt
Filed under: Fidelibacterota bacterium
Lineage: Bacteria; Pseudomonadati; Fidelibacterota
Description: Candidatus Marinimicrobia bacterium tRNA-Leu
Rfam family: tRNA
About the family: Transfer RNA (tRNA) molecules are approximately 80 nucleotides in length. Their secondary structure includes four short double-helical elements and three loops (D, anti-codon, and T loops). Further hydrogen bonds mediate the characteristic L-shaped molecular structure. tRNAs have two regions of fundamental functional importance: the anti-codon, which is responsible for specific mRNA codon recognition, and the 3' end, to which the tRNAs corresponding amino acid is attached (by aminoacyl-tRNA synthetases). tRNAs cope with the degeneracy of the genetic code in two manners: having more than one tRNA (with a specific anti-codon) for a particular amino acid; and 'wobble' base-pairing, i.e. permitting non-standard base-pairing at the 3rd anti-codon position.
Source: RNAcentral